Molecule: non-coding RNA, 27 nt
Filed under: Mus musculus (house mouse)
Lineage: Eukaryota; Metazoa; Chordata; Mammalia; Rodentia; Muridae
Source: RNAcentral
CCCCAUCUCGGAAGUGCCAUGUGCAGU